Mercenaria mercenaria is the source of this 1125-nucleotide long non-coding RNA. RefSeq lists it as uncharacterized. The transcript has 2 exons. The record is from RefSeq and is a predicted model, not a curated record. NCBI's taxonomy places the organism in Eukaryota, Metazoa, Mollusca, Bivalvia, Venerida, Veneridae.
AAAAUAUUAUAUUUAUGUAGAUUCUAUAUAUAUUUUAUCACUUUUUUAAAAAAAAAAAUAAGAAAAAAAAACUUUGGUCACGUGACAAGUUUCGACCAUCUUCGUAACACACCGUAAGUUUCGACCAUCUUCAGCUUUCGCUUUCGGAUGGCUGUGACCUAGUUCACACGAUCCUUUUGUCCACGAUUGGAGACGCGCAAAUUUCAUACUGAUUUUAAAACAUUUUUUCGGAAUGACAUAACGUGUCGAAGAGAAAUAUACGUCUCCUUGCGGUAAACCAGAAUACAGCACGGCAUUUUGCUUCAUAUACGUGUUAUUCAAAAAACAACAACAGUUUAAAGCCAAAGGAACCCAAUCUAACAAAUGUCAGUCGUUGGACAUUCUAAAUCAUGAUCUGAUAUAUCGUUUGGAAAUUCUCCCCUUUGCUGAUGAAAUACCUUCUAUCAUUUAAUGGAUAUUUAAGUAGAACAGAACGGAACAGAACAGAACAGAACAGAACGGACCAAAACAGAACUCUCAGUCAGCAUUUACAUCUCUGUAAACGGCAUCGAUAUUGCCAUUUAAUUUAUCAUAUACGAUUUAUAACUGGUAUUCUGCGGAUUCUGAACUUAAUGCUCCGUAAUUGAUACAUUGACAUUUUCUUGACAAAAUAUUGAUAAAUCAGUUGAUAGACCGAUAUCGAAGUUGAAUUUUGCUGUUAUCCCAAUUCAGAAAGCAGCUUAAUACAAUAAGUACAAUGAUUAUCAAGAUUUAUAAAAAAAAAUUCACCUAGAGUUAUUUUGACAUAGGAAAUUCUACACGUCUGACAAACCGGAAGUAAAGGCAUGACGUCAUUUAACCGGAAAUAUAACACAAAACCUGCGCUCGGCAUAUGGAUUCCCCUUUUCGUUUGCCUAAUUUUCUUAAAAUAUCUAUGGGUUUGAAAACUUAAGAUUUUCUCAAUUUGAGCAAAAAACAACAAUAACAACAACGACAAAACCACCAUAAUGUAAAUUCUGUAUGUUUUGUGCAAAUAUAUCAAGAGGAUACAUGUAUACAAAUGUGUAUAUGAUAUUUUAAAUUAAUUGUUAAGAAUAUUAUUUACAUUUGUGAUAUAAUAGAUGAAUCUAAUAUAAUGAAGUUAUA